Molecule: ribosomal RNA, 433 nt
Filed under: uncultured bacterium
Lineage: Bacteria
Description: partial 16S ribosomal RNA
Rfam family: Bacterial small subunit ribosomal RNA
Source: RNAcentral
AAUGAACGCUGGCGGCAUGCCUAACACAUGCAAGUCGAACGAGACCUUCGGGUCUAGUGGCGUACGGGUUCGUAACCCGUGGGAUCCUGCCCUUAGGUUUGGAAUAACUCCCCGAAAGGGGUGCCAAUACCGGAUAUUGUCUCCGGACCAAAGAUUUAUCGACUUUGGAGGGGCCCGAGUUGGAUUAGCUUGUUGCUAGGCUAAAAGAUUACCAAGGCGAGGAUCCAUAGAUGGUUUGUGAGGCUGGGCAGCCACUCUGGGACGGGGACGCGGCCGGGACUCCUACGGGAGGCGGGAAUGCGGGAUAUUGGAAAAUGGGCGGAAGCAUGAUCCAGCAAUGCCGCGAGAGUGAUGAAGGCCUGGGAGUUGUGAAGCGCUUUUACCCGGGAUGAUAAUGACAGUACCGGAAGAAUAAGCUCCGGCUAACUCCGUG